This 497-nucleotide ribosomal RNA is filed under the name uncultured bacterium. RNAcentral describes it as "partial 16S ribosomal RNA". It matches the Rfam family "Bacterial small subunit ribosomal RNA", at positions 28 to 507 of the family's 1533-position model. The record is from RNAcentral.
GAUGAACGCUGGCGGCGUGCCUAAUACAUGCAAGUCGAGCGAACAGAUGAGGAGCUUGCUCCUCUGACGUUAGCGGCGGACGGGUGAGUAACACGUGGAUAACCUACCUAUAAGACUGGGAUAACUACGGGAAACCGGAGCUAAUACCGGAUAAUAUAUUGAACCGCAUGGUUCAAUAGUGAAAGACGGUUUUGCUGUCACUUAUAGAUGGAUCCGCGCCGCAUUAGCUAGUUGGUAAGGUAACGGCUUACCAAGGCAACGAUGCGUAGCCGACCUGAGAGGGUGAUCGGCCACACUGGAACUGAGACACGGUCCAGACUCCUACGGGAGGCAGCAGUAGGGAAUCUUCCGCAAUGGGCGAAAGCCUGACGGAGCAACGCCGCGUGAGUGAUGAAGGUCUUCGGAUCGUAAAACUCUGUUAUUAGGGAAGAACAAAUGUGUAAGUAACUAUGCACGUCUUGACGGUACCUAAUCAGAAAGCCACAGCUAACUACGUG